This is a long non-coding RNA of Gigantopelta aegis, 332 nucleotides long. RefSeq lists it as uncharacterized. Lineage: Eukaryota; Metazoa; Mollusca; Gastropoda; Neomphalida; Peltospiridae. The record is from RefSeq and is a predicted model, not a curated record. The transcript is spliced from 2 exons.
UUUGUAUACAGCUGUUUUUGUGGAUUUACUCUUCCGAUCUUCGAAUCUAGAUGGAGCUAGGUCUGGGAGAGUCCAACGAACUGUAUGAAGACAUUAGCAUCAGUGGCUGCUAGAGGAACAUCGCUAGUUGUAACAUACACGAGGUAACGGACAGGGUUUCCGAGAUCAGAGGACGCUGCAAGCACAACAUUUCAAUACUCAAUAAUCUGUUACAAACAUGUUAUUGUAUAUGGCAGAUUGUGCAAAACUAGACCUGUUUGAGUGCUGGGCCAAAAAAAAAUCUACUAUAUUCUCUCAAUAUUCAGAGGCCUAAUACAUGAUGCUAGUUAAAA